UCGCACAUAUUAAACCCUAAUAGAAGAAAACCUUUGUCACAAAAAAAAGGGGGCUUAUGGACAACAGGGAUUGAAACUUUCCCAACUGCCAACCAAUUUCUAGGAGAACUCCUUAAAGUUUUAAAAUACUCUUCCUUCAAUCCAAGAAAAUCUUACUUUAGAAAAUCUUAAUGACCCUCACACUGGCAUGCCUCCCGGGAGGGCGGGGGGGGGGCGUUGUGCGUUCAAAGAUUCGAUGAUUCACUGAAUUCUACACUUCACACUACUUAUCGCAUUUCGCUGCGUUCUUCCUGUUUGAGCGUCCCUAAAACUCGCGUCGGGUGAGAUUUUUCUUUAUAUAUUAAUGAAGAGAUCUUAAAAACUUUAUUGAGUUCUCCUUUUAAAAUGAUUAUGUUAUGGAAAAGUUAUCAAAUCCCUUAUUGUGUAAAAAAAAAACAGGGGUUUGGGGGGACGAAUGAUAUCUAGCUUCAAAUUCUGAUUUCUAUUAUGGCUGACCUCAAAUCAGGUAAAAGAUACCCGCUGAACUUAAGCAUAUCAAUAAGGCGGGAGGG
RNAcentral lists this unclassified non-coding RNA (551 nucleotides) under Pyronemataceae sp. SB118. RNAcentral describes it as "sequence contains 18S rRNA gene, ITS1, 5.8S rRNA gene, ITS2 and 28S rRNA gene". The record is from RNAcentral. Lineage: Eukaryota; Fungi; Ascomycota; Pezizomycetes; Pezizales; Pyronemataceae.